RNAcentral lists this ribosomal RNA (484 nucleotides) under uncultured bacterium. RNAcentral describes it as "partial 16S ribosomal RNA". It matches the Rfam family "Bacterial small subunit ribosomal RNA", at positions 30 to 507 of the family's 1533-position model. The record is from RNAcentral.
AUUGAACGCUGGCGGCAGGCCUAACACAUGCAAGUCGAGCGGAUGAAGGGAGCUUGCUCCUGGAUUCAGCGGCGGACGGGUGAGUAAUGCCUAGGAAUCUGCCUGGUAGUGGGGGAUAACGUCCGGAAACGGGCGCUAAUACCGCAUACGUCCUGAGGGAGAAAGUGGGGGAUCUUCGGACCUCACGCUAUCAGAUGAGCCUAGGUCGGAUUAGCUAGUUGGUGGGGUAAAGGCCUACCAAGGCGACGAUCCGUAACUGGUCUGAGAGGAUGAUCAGUCACACUGGAACUGAGACACGGUCCAGACUCCUACGGGAGGCAGCAGUGGGGAAUAUUGGACAAUGGGCGAAAGCCUGAUCCAGCCAUGCCGCGUGUGUGAAGAAGGUCUUCGGAUUGUAUAGCACUUUAAGUUGGGAGGAAGGGCAGUAAGUUAAUACCUUGCUGUCUUGACGUUACCAACAGAAUAAGCACCGGCUAACUUCGUG